AUUGAACGCUGGCGGCAUGCCUUACACAUGCAAGUCGAACGGCAGCGCGGGAGCAAUCCUGGCGGCGAGUGGCGAACGGGUGAGUAAUAUAUCGGAACGUGCCCAGUAGUGGGGGAUAGCCCGGCGAAAGCCGGAUUAAUACCGCAUGAGACCUGAGGGUGAAAGCGGGGGAUCGCAAGACCUCGCGCUAUUGGAGCGGCCGAUAUCAGAUUAGCUAGUUGGUGGGGUAAAGGCCUACCAAGGCAACGAUCUGUAGUUGGUCUGAGAGGACGACCAGCCACACUGGGACUGAGACACGGCCCAGACUCCUACGGGAGGCAGCAGUGGGGAAUUUUGGACAAUGGGCGCAAGCCUGAUCCAGCAAUGCCGCGUGCAGGAAG
This 380-nucleotide ribosomal RNA is filed under the name uncultured bacterium. Its description in RNAcentral is "bacterial SSU rRNA". It matches the Rfam family "Bacterial small subunit ribosomal RNA", at positions 29 to 410 of the family's 1533-position model. The record is from RNAcentral.